RNAcentral lists this ribosomal RNA (497 nucleotides) under uncultured bacterium. Its description in RNAcentral is "partial 16S ribosomal RNA". It matches the Rfam family "Bacterial small subunit ribosomal RNA", at positions 36 to 507 of the family's 1533-position model. The record is from RNAcentral.
UCUUCCCUCUGGCGGCGUGCCUAAUACAUGCAAGUCGAGCGAACGGACGAGAAGCUUGCUUCUCUGAUGUUAGCGGCGGACGGGUGAGUAACACGUGGAUAACCUACCUAUAAGACUGGGAUAACUUCGGGAAACCGGAGCUAAUACCGGAUGAUAUUUUGAACCGCAUGGUUCAAAAGUGAAAGACGGUCUUGCUGUCACUUAUAGAUGGAUCCGCGCUGCAUUAGCUAGUUGGUAAUGUAACGGCUUACCAAGGCAACGAUGCAUAGCCGACCUGAGAGGGUGAUCGGCCACACUGGAACUGAGACACGGUCCAGACUCCUACGGGAGGCAGCAGUAGGGAAUCUUCCGCAAUGGGCGAAAGCCUGACGGAGCAACGCCGCGUGAGUGAUGAAGGUCUUCGGAUCGUAAAACUCUGUUAUUAGGGAAGAACAUAUGUGUAAGUAACUGUGCACAUCUUGACGGUACCUAAUCAGAAAGCCACGGCUAACUACGUG